Molecule: ribosomal RNA, 301 nt
Filed under: uncultured bacterium
Lineage: Bacteria
Description: partial 16S ribosomal RNA
Rfam family: Bacterial small subunit ribosomal RNA
Source: RNAcentral
CAGUCGCCGCGGUAAUACGUAGGUGGCAAGCGUUGUCCGGAAUUAUUGGGCGUAAAGGGCUCGCAGGCGGUUUCUUAAGUCUGAUGUGAAAGCCCCCGGCUCAACCGGGGAGGGUCAUUGGAAACUGGGAAACUUGAGUGCAGAAGAGUAGAGUGGAAUUCCACGUGUAGCGGUGAAAUGCGUAGAGAUGUGGAGGAACACCAGUGGCGAAGGCGACUCUCUGGUCUGUAACUGACGCUGAGGAGCGAAAGCGUGGGGAGCGAACAGGAUUAGAUACCCGUGUAGUCCCUGUCUCUUAUAC